RNAcentral lists this long non-coding RNA (804 nucleotides) under Macaca nemestrina (pig-tailed macaque). RNAcentral's name for it is "lncRNA (ENSMNEG00000046079.1)". Lineage: Eukaryota; Metazoa; Chordata; Mammalia; Primates; Cercopithecidae. The record is from RNAcentral.
AUGAAAGUGGCAUUGGAUAAGGUCAUUGAAAUUGUGACUGACUGUAAACCGAAUGGAGAGACUGACAUUUCAUCUGUCAGUAUUUUUACUGGAAUUAAGGAAUUCAAGAUGAAUAUUGAAGCUCUUCGGGAGAAUCUUUAUUUUCAGUCCAAAGAGAAUCUUUCUGUGACAUUGGAAGUCAUCUUGGAGCGUACAGAGGACUUCACUGAUUCUGCCUACACCAGCCAUGAGCACAGGGAACGCAUCUUGGAACUGUCAACUCAGGCGAGAAUGGAACUGCAGCAGUUAAUUUCUGUGUGGAUUCAAGCUCAAAGCAAGAAAACAAAAAGCAUCGCUGAAGAACUGGAACUCAGUAUUUUGAAAAUCAGUCACAGUCUUAAUGAACUUAAGAAAGAAGUAAGUAUAGUUUGAAAUUUAGCUUCUUCUAAUUCUUUGCUAAUUUUCAUGUUGUAUGGGUGUAUGAAAUGCAUUAGUAUUAGUAUGUCUCUGUGCCUAGAAAAUGGUUUUGAAAGUUUUCCUUUGAGGCCAGGCAUGGUGGCUCAUACCCGUAAUUCCAGCACUGUGGGGAGGCCAAGGUGGGAGGAUCACUUGAGCCUAGGAGUUCGAGAUUAGCCUGGGCAACAUGGCGAAACCCCAUCUCUACAAAAAACACAAAAGAUUAGCCAGGUGUGGUGGUUAGCGCCUGUAGUCCCAGCUACUCGGGAGGCUGAAGUGGGAGAAUCACCCGAUCCCCAGGGCUCAAGGCUGCAGUGAGCCAUGAUUGCGCUGCUGCACUUCAGCCUGGGUGCCAGAGUGAGACCCUGU